GCAGCUUGAAGUGGGGCUGGGGUUUCCUCCUUCCUGAGGGGCAGCAAGGGGCAAGAGCUCUGUCCCUGGUGCCUUGCAGCUGGCCCACGCCCUCGGCUCACUGGCCAGCUAUGCCUUCCAAGACCCCCUACCUUAAAGGAGUCAACAGUGCUCCAUACCCUGCUGAUUUCAGGAUUUCCUAAAGAAAAGUUGUGUUCAGGACUUCCCUGGUGGUCCAGUGGCUAAGACUCCUCCACACUCCCAAUGCAGGGCGCCCAGGUUUGAUCCCUGGUCAAGGAACUAGAUCCCUCCUGCCACAGCUAAGCUAACAGUUCAGCAUGCCACAGCUAAAGAUCCCUCAUGUCACAGCUAAGACCUGGCACAGCCAAAUUAAUAAAUUUUUUUUUUUUUUAAUGAAAGAAGAGUUAAUGUUCAGUCACUAAAUCAAACAAAAGAAAAAAAAUAGAGGGAAGUAGCACUCUCAGCUGAAGAGAGUCCCAGAUCUGCCACCAAGAGAAUUAUUUGUAAUUUAACUGCUUUUAUUUAUUUCAAUGAAAUAUUUCACAUGCAUGAAAGAUCGUGGGUUGAAGAAUAAUAUUAAAACUGUCAUCCACAGUCAUCCUACCUGCCGAAGCUUCAGACAUUGAAGGAUUAUUCUUUAAUGAGAAGAAGAGAGUGAUUCAGGCCUGAACUGGGCCAGCCCCCCUGUUCCCUGCUUCUCCGGGGCUCUCCAGGAGGAUGCAGCUGAGUUAUGUUAGUGGGAAAUUGGCAAGCUCAGAUUUAUGACCUAAUAUAUAGCAGCUUCCGUGUAUCGCCUUCGUCAAUCAGCACCGGCUGGAAAUAACACCUGCUUCCUGUUGGCGAGCCCCCUGCCUCUGUGUCCUGACUGGUGGGGCAGGCAGACGGCUCCUGCAACUGUCUGCUCUGAUGUUCCAUCGCCAUGUUCAGACCAUCCUGAGUUUUUAUUUUCCAUGUGUUUCCAUGACUCAUCCUAGGGACCUGGACUUUGUUCCCCAGCGUUGUUGGGAACUUGCUGGUAUUUUCUUUUGUAGGUGGCCAUCAAGUAGAUGCAAGGUCUUGGGGUCAUUCCUCAGCCUGAGAUCCUGCCUUCAACCCCAGGCUGUCUUCUUCCAUCCACUGGAGCCCGCUGACCUGCCCCCAGUUCUCGGAAGCAGGCCUUCUGCCUCCCCCAGCUAAAGUAUGUUUCUGAACAAAUUGCUGAGACUCCAGUCAGAGAUGAAGCUCCUCCAGGAAGACUGGAUACUGGGCUAGCUGUCAGGAAGCCUGGCUUGUCAAGUCGGAAAACGAAAAUGUUAGUGAUGAACAGCACUUCUGGUGACUCUCUGUUGGAGGGGAGGUGUUUUUGCAUCAGCACACUAUGGAGGUGCUAUCCAUCAGGGGCCAGAAGAUGGAUUUUGCCCCCUCGCCAUCUUGCCUAGCUGCUGGCAUCACUCGGCAGUAUCUCCGAAUUCACACUUUCUUUGGAAAUCCCAGAUGGACCCUUCCCAGAACCAGAAAAGCUAUUUUUUUCUUUCUUUCUGAAAGAUGGCACCUUAUUUCCAUGACUUUUCUUGCCUAGCACUGAGACAUCUCAACCACUCCCAAGGUUUUGUUUCAUUGUGGUAGAAUUUCAUUCCUAGGUGAAACCCCUACAGUUUAGCCUGUAGAAACAGGAGGAAAGAGCAGAUAGCCUGUCAUAUAGGGACAUCUGGAAUUAUGGGGCUCCUUCUCCUGCUUAUCGGGGAUGUAGUUGAUGAAAAAGACAGCUGUUUUGGACCCAUCUCCUGUUUCUCCUCCCAAAUGCCAAGAAGGGGGAGCUGCUUCCUGAGCUCAGCCUUGCUGCUCGCAUACCAGAGACCAUCCCCUAGCGCAUCCUGCUUCUGCCAGGUGGGGCUGCUGGGGGAGUGAGGGGAGAUGCCGCCUUCCUCGCUUCCUUCUUACGUUCCUCACAAGCAUCAGUAUCCGAGUAAAACCAGAGGGUUCCUGCCUCAGGUGGCUGUGAUCUGGGCAUCCCUUGCCUCCUGCCCCUCCUCCCGGCCCUAGCUGGGAAACUGCAAGUUAAGAGCUGGAAAUAAAUCAAGGCCUUUGGUGAGCCUGUCAGGUUUCUUAGUUCUUGCCGUUCUCCAUACCCUUCCUGUCAUGGCACCUGCUGAUAGUAACUGGCCAAUAGACUGCUCCUCCUGGAUAAAGGAGAGUGAGAUAUAUAUAUACCCAUACACACAAUGAAACACUACUGAGCCGUAAGAAGAAUGGAACAAUGCCAUUUGCAGCAACAUGGAUGGACCUAGAGAUCAUCGUACUAAGUGAAGUAAGUCACAAAGAGAAAGACAAAUAUAUGAUAUCACUUACACGUGGGAUCUAAAAUAUGAUACAAAUGAACUUAUUUACAAAAUGGAAAUAGAUGCACUGAUAUGGAAAACAAAUUUAUGGUUACUAUAAGGAAACGAGGAGAGAGGGAUAAAUUAGGAAUUUAGGGUUAACAGAUACAUAUUACUACAUAUAUAAUAGAUAACAAGGACUUCCUGCAUAGCACAGGGAACUAUAUUCAAUAGCUUGCAGUAAACGACAAUGGAAAGAAUAUGAAAAAAGAAUGUAUAUAUUUGGAAUAACUUUGCUGAGCACCUGAAUUGAACACAAUGUAGGAGAUCAGCUAUACUUCGACAAAACUAACUAAAUAAAAGAGUGCUCCUCUUAGCCUCCCCGUUCAUAACAGAGUUGUUGGGAGGGCAGGGUAGAAGGCUGGGUGUGGGAGAAAAAUGCUACUGAAAGGGUCUGAUUGUUGCUGCUCCUACUGACUCAGCUCCAGGCCGCUCUCUGUUUUCCCAGCCCACUUUAGCCUACUGUCCCCAAAGUCGGUUCCCACCCAGGCCUUACUGGAAAUGAAGCCACAUCAACAGCCCCGCAGGGCAGUGUUUUGUGACCACCUUUCCAAGGAGGUUGUGUAGGAUUUCAACGUGCUGUUUCCCUGCCCUGCUGCCCUCAGUGUCUUUCAUUUAUGUUAUUUUCCUCCUUUUUCCUUUUGGCAGUAAAAUAUACAUAACAAAAAUUUUUCCAUUUUGAUCAUUUUUGAACAUACAAUUCAGUGGCAUUAGAC
This 3073-nucleotide long non-coding RNA is filed under the name Capra hircus (goat). RNAcentral describes it as "lncRNA (ENSCHIG00000006938.1)". The record is from RNAcentral. Lineage: Eukaryota; Metazoa; Chordata; Mammalia; Artiodactyla; Bovidae.